This is a long non-coding RNA of Branchiostoma belcheri (Belcher's lancelet), 428 nucleotides long. RefSeq lists it as uncharacterized. Lineage: Eukaryota; Metazoa; Chordata; Leptocardii; Amphioxiformes; Branchiostomatidae. The transcript has 3 exons. The record is from RefSeq and is a predicted model, not a curated record.
CCGCACCUGCCAACGACUCGGGGUUCCGAACAGUGGAGACCAUCUCAGUGCACGGAGAAGGUUUCACUCUACAUGACGACAAACACAACAGUUACUCAAGAAUACAAUCAAAAAGUGGAACAAAAUACCAGGCAGACUUCGGCAUGUCCACCCUGAGAUGCAGACUACAGCAGGAAUUUACUGGCUAGCACGAAACCCAGUCGUGGAAGGAUUGGGGUGUGCAUUCAUGUUUUUCACGCAAGAAAGUUGAAAAACAAGCACUGCAGCUGAAUGCAACAGCAUCGUGAAAGCAAAGAAAAAAAUAAUAAAAAAGCAAGACUGACACAAACAUGCAUACAUUGUGUGUUACAUAGAAAACACACAAGUGAAUAAAAUUCCUUACACAAAACAUCACUAUUACAUGUAUCACACAGGUAAGUUAUAAAAAA